AGAUUAAGUUAUUAAGGGCGCACGGUGGAUGCCUUGGCACUAGAAGCCGAUGAAGGACGUUACUAACGACGAUAUGCUUUGGGGAGCUGUAAGUAAGCUUUGAUCCAGAGAUUUCCGAAUGGGGAAACCCAGCAUGAGUUAUGUCAUGUUAUCGAUAUGUGAAUACAUAGCAUAUCAGAAGGCACACCCGGAGAACUGAAACAUCUUAGUACCCGGAGGAAGAGAAAGAAAAUUCGAUUCCCUUAGUAGCGGCGAGCGAAACGGGAAGAGCCCAAACCAACAAGCUUGCUUGUUGGGGUUGUAGGACACUCUAUACGGAGUUACAAAGGACGACAUUAGACGAAUCAUCUGGAAAGAUGAAUCAAAGAAGGUAAUAAUCCUGUAGUCGAAAAUGUUGUCUCUCUUGAGUGGAUCCUGAGUACGACGGAGCACGUGAAAUUCCGUCGGAAUCUGGGAGGACCAUCUCCUAAGGCUAAAUACUCUCUAGUGACCGAUAGUGAACCAGUACCGUGAGGGAAAGGUGAAAAGCACCCCGGAAGGGGAGUGAAAUAGAACCUGAAACCGUGUGCUUACAAGUAGUCAGAGCCCGUUAAUGGGUGAUGGCGUGCCUUUUGUAGAAUGAACCGGCGAGUUACGAUUUGAUGCAAGGUUAAGCAGUAAAUGUGGAGCCGUAGCGAAAGCGAGUCUGAAUAGGGCGUUUAGUAUUUGGUCGUAGACCCGAAACCAGGUGAUCUACCCUUGGUCAGGUUGAAGUUCAGGUAACACUGAAUGGAGGACCGAACCGACUUACGUUGAAAAGUGAGCGGAUGAACUGAGGGUAGCGGAGAAAUUCCAAUCGAACCUGGAGAUAGCUGGUUCUCUCCGAAAUAGCUUUAGGGCUAGCCUCAAGUGAUGAUUAUUGGAGGUAGAGCACUGUUUGGACGAGGGGCCCCUCUCGGGUUACCGAAUUCAGACAAACUCCGAAUGCCAAUUAAUUUAACUUGGGAGUCAGAACAUGGGUGAUAAGGUCCGUGUUCGAAAGGGAAACAGCCCAGACCACCAGCUAAGGUCCCAAAAUAUAUGUUAAGUGGAAAAGGAUGUGGCGUUGCCCAGACAACUAGGAUGUUGGCUUAGAAGCAGCCAUCAUUUAAAGAGUGCGUAAUAGCUCACUAGUCGAGUGACACUGCGCCGAAAAUGUACCGGGGCUAAACAUAUUACCGAAGCUGUGGAUUGUCCUUUGGACAAUGGUAGGAGAGCGUUCUAAGGGCGUUGAAGCAUGAUCGUAAGGACAUGUGGAGCGCUUAGAAGUGAGAAUGCCGGUGUGAGUAGCGAAAGACGGGUGAGAAUCCCGUCCACCGAUUGACUAAGGUUUCCAGAGGAAGGCUCGUCCGCUCUGGGUUAGUCGGGUCCUAAGCUGAGGCCGACAGGCGUAGGCGAUGGAUAACAGGUUGAUAUUCCUGUACCACCUAUAAUCGUUUUAAUCGAUGGGGGGACGCAGUAGGAUAGGCGAAGCGUGCGAUUGGAUUGCACGUCUAAGCAGUAAGGCUGAGUAUUAGGCAAAUCCGGUACUCGUUAAGGCUGAGCUGUGAUGGGGAGAAGACAUUGUGUCUUCGAGUCGUUGAUUUCACACUGCCGAGAAAAGCCUCUAGAUAGAAAAUAGGUGCCCGUACCGCAAACCGACACAGGUAGUCAAGAUGAGAAUUCUAAGGUGAGCGAGCGAACUCUCGUUAAGGAACUCGGCAAAAUGACCCCGUAACUUCGGGAGAAGGGGUGCUCUUUAGGGUUAACGCCCAGAAGAGCCGCAGUGAAUAGGCCCAAGCGACUGUUUAUCAAAAACACAGGUCUCUGCUAAACCGUAAGGUGAUGUAUAGGGGCUGACGCCUGCCCGGUGCUGGAAGGUUAAGAGGAGUGGUUAGCUUCUGCGAAGCUACGAAUCGAAGCCCC
This 1923-nucleotide ribosomal RNA is filed under the name Escherichia coli. RNAcentral's name for it is "partial 23S ribosomal RNA". It matches the Rfam family "Bacterial large subunit ribosomal RNA", at positions 1 to 1921 of the family's 2925-position model. Lineage: Bacteria; Pseudomonadati; Pseudomonadota; Gammaproteobacteria; Enterobacterales; Enterobacteriaceae. RNAcentral also lists the same sequence under 1 other name. The record is from RNAcentral.